ACGGCCACACCUAGGCGAAAACACCAGUUCCCGUCCGAUCACUGCAGUUAAGCGUCUGAGGGUCUCGUUAGUACUAUGGUUGGAGACAACAUGGGAAUCCGGGAUGCUGUAGGUU
Molecule: ribosomal RNA, 115 nt
Filed under: Schizosaccharomyces octosporus yFS286
Lineage: Eukaryota; Fungi; Ascomycota; Schizosaccharomycetes; Schizosaccharomycetales; Schizosaccharomycetaceae
Source: RNAcentral